GUAGGGAAUCUUGCGCAAUGGGCGAAAGCCUGACGCAGCCAUGCCGCGUGAAUGAUGAAGGUCUUAGGAUUGUAAAAUUCUUUCACCGGGGACGAUAAUGACGGUGCCCGGAGAAGAAGCCCCGGCUAACUUCGUGCCAGCAGCCGCGGUAAUACGAAGGGGGCUAGCGUUGCUCGGAAUUACUGGGCGUAAAGGGCGCGUAGGCGGACAGUUUAGUCAGAGGUGAAAGCCCAGGGCUCAACCUUGGAAUUGCCUUUGAUACUGGCUGUCUUGAGUAUGGGAGAGGUGUGUGGAACUCCGAGUGUAGAGGUGAAAUUCGUAGAUAUUCGGAAGAACACCAGUGGCGAAGGCGACACACUGGCCCAUUACUGACGCUGAGGCGCGAAAGCGUGGGGAGCAAACAGGAUUAGAAACCUAGUAGUCC
RNAcentral lists this ribosomal RNA (424 nucleotides) under uncultured bacterium. RNAcentral describes it as "partial 16S ribosomal RNA". It matches the Rfam family "Bacterial small subunit ribosomal RNA", at positions 354 to 796 of the family's 1533-position model. The record is from RNAcentral.